GCGCCAUAUUAACUGCUGUCGGAAGGAAGACUGCCGCUUUGCAUGCAGGCGUCCGCGCGGCUUGGGAAGAGGCUACCCUGUGACCCGGGCGGGAAAUUGGGACGGCCACCUACGUGACAGUUCUUCAGUCACCUCUAAAAUGAGGAACACAGGCUAUCGAUGCCCCCACAACCCCUUUUACGGAUUAGUCAAUUCCGACAGGUCCUGCUCAAGGUCAAUGGGGCUGGUGGCCUGGAGGACUCAUUUAAGAAUCAUGUGUCGAGUACCUACUUUGAACAAAGGUGGUACCAUCUAUGCCCUGGUGGCUGGGGGUGGACACAAACAUGUGACCAGCCUGUGAACUCCUCUGUUGGGUGUCUUAUUACCCCCUGCUUUGGGUGUGAUUGAAUCCUCCAGUCAGAGGUAGAAGAAAAAAGGGUGGCCUGGGAAGAGG
Molecule: long non-coding RNA, 433 nt
Filed under: Piliocolobus tephrosceles (Ugandan red Colobus)
Lineage: Eukaryota; Metazoa; Chordata; Mammalia; Primates; Cercopithecidae
Description: lncRNA (ENSPTEG00000023197.1)
Source: RNAcentral